UCGUCUGCAGCAUUGUGUGUGCGAGGCACCACCUCAGGCCCAAGGCAAUAAUCAUUUCACAGAAAAUGCACCGCCCCGAGUGUCUUAUUGCUGUGAUGAAAUGGAAAUUUAAAUAAAAGGUCGAACACGUGCGUUCACUGGGAAGUAUUGACAUGGGUGUUACAUCACCACCAGCCAAUCAGAUAACUCCAGUCGUGUUUAUACUUCUACAACCACCUUGUCUUCCUGAUAUAUAUAAAGAAAUAUUAAGGUCUUCCUCUAAACCUUAAGGGAGAUGGAAUCAAAAUCAAAGUUCAAGAGGAUAGUAAUCACAAACGUCUCAAAACAGCUCUAAGUAAAGAUAUUGAACUAAUGUUUCCAUCGAAUUUACAUUAAAAACAAUAAUCAUAUACAUACA
Long non-coding RNA from Lynx canadensis (Canada lynx), 397 nucleotides. RefSeq lists it as uncharacterized. The record is from RefSeq and is a predicted model, not a curated record. NCBI's taxonomy places the organism in Eukaryota, Metazoa, Chordata, Mammalia, Carnivora, Felidae. The transcript has 3 exons.